RNAcentral lists this ribosomal RNA (253 nucleotides) under uncultured bacterium. RNAcentral describes it as "partial 16S ribosomal RNA". It matches the Rfam family "Bacterial small subunit ribosomal RNA", at positions 524 to 776 of the family's 1533-position model. The record is from RNAcentral.
UACGUAGGGUGCAAGCGUUGUCCGGAAUUAUUGGGCGUAAAGAGCUCGUAGGCGGUCUGUCGCGUCGGCUGUGAAAACCCGGGGCUCAACCCCGGGCCUGCAGUCGAUACGGGCAGACUAGAGUUCGGCAGGGGAGACUGGAAUUCCUGGUGUAGCGGUGAAAUGCGCAGAUAUCAGGAGGAACACCGGUGGCGAAGGCGGGUCUCUGGGCCGAUACUGACGCUGAGGAGCGAAAGCGUGGGGAGCGAACAGG